AUUUAUAAAAAGUAAAAUACAAAGAGUUGCCAUUUGGGCUACUGACUGGGCUUUCGGGCUUAAUCAGGCCUAGGGCCAGGCUUGGACUGGACCCGGUUUUGGAAAAUAUAUUUCAACCCAAAUUGGCUUUCAAGCUUAAGCUGGCUUUGAGGGUCCCGGGCCAACCGGUCCUUUUCUCGAUGGGCUAGACGGGUUCAAGCCCAAGCCCAUUUGUGAUUUGUGAACCUCUACUUAUAGUCUAGACUAUAAAAAACCAUUACAAAACAGCUAAUGUUGUCAUAUUUCCCUGUUCUUAUGACAGUUAAUGCAUCUGUUAAUAUUUUAUUAUGAACUAGGGAAGCAGGAGACACUCACCUCUUAAACAACCUACCGCUCAGCAAGUACUAAUCGAGAUGAUAUCGAAUGGACCCAUUAGUCUAUUAGUAAUAGGAGCACACACAAACAUCGCUAUUUUUCUUAUGACCAAUCCACAUUUAAAGAGAAAUAUUGAGCACAUUUAUAUCAUGGGUGGUGGUGUGAGGUCAAAGAACCCAACUGGUGGUAAUCAUGGUAAUUUAUAUACAUGCUUCAAAAGCAAUCCUUAUGCUGAGUUCAACCUUUUUGGUGACCCUUUUGCUGCAUACCAGGUAACUAACUAUAGACCCUCUUUAAAAUUAGUACUUAUUAGGUGGGCUCCAGGUCAAGAAAUGUAUGGAUAUUACAUUCUGUGUGUUAACUAGAGCUGGUAACCAUUAACUAUCAAGCACAAUAAUCAAACUACUGCCACAACCAUAACUUUUAACUUUCUAAUUACUUACAUUCAGUGAUCUAUUUUGUUGCUUAUCAUGACGCUGAAUGGGGGGUUCUUGCUCUUGAUGAUACGUUGUUGUUUGAAUUAUUGGUGCUGACUGGUGCUCAAGUUGGAUCAGAUUGGACUUCUGUUUUGAAGAAAAAGGGAGCAAGUUAAGUAAUGAACUAAAGGACAAUAAGGAUGCAAAUCAUUCCUUUACUGGUGAAAUUUUGGACUAUGUAAAGUAAAAUGUGAAAGUAAGAAGCAAUGUUAUUCACGAUAAUUUCUUAAGAACAAAAGAUAUGUCCAAUCAUACAACUCCCAAGAUUCUUGUGUUGUACAUAUACUUCCUUGGAAGGGUUGCUAAGCAGAGGUCAAGAGAAGCUAACCUACAAUUAGUAGAUUAUCUCAUGUCGCUUAUAUGGCAGUUUAAGUUUAAAGGUGGAUGGUUCAAUGAGACUGUAGGUUGUCCAUACUACAUGGAUCCCAAGUUCCUAAAAAGAAAUUAUGGCCUGGAAGUUGUUGUAUGGAAUGUUAGAGUAAUCCUACACAUAAUCCCUUGUGGUGUCUCGCCAUUUUAGGCAGGUUGAAAUGUUUUAUGAUUUUGAAGUGAACUUCAAAAGAGAAGUUGGUGAAAACAAAUAAAAGAAAGGAUAAAAUAGAGUUUUUAGAAGAUGGAUGUAGAUGAACAUUGAAGGAGAAGGAAAAGAAAGACAGAGAGAGAUGUUGUUUUAGACAUGAGAUUUACUUUUUGUUACAAGAUUUUAGUGUUUAGUUUUUUUGUGGGUCUGUAAAAGUUUUAGGAGAGAGAUAUUUCAACACUUUCUUUUCAAAGAAAACGGUUUAGGAGUCUUUACGCAUUAGAAAUACACUCUGGUGCCUUAUGUUUGUGGGUCUGUAAAAGUUUUGAACUUGGAUACUAUUCGUAUGUGCAUUUUUUCUUA
Molecule: long non-coding RNA, 1713 nt
Organism: Helianthus annuus (common sunflower)
Lineage: Eukaryota; Viridiplantae; Streptophyta; Magnoliopsida; Asterales; Asteraceae
Exons: 5
Source: RefSeq, a predicted model, not a curated record